AUGUUGGAGCAAAGUAAGGCUCUCAGCGACCCCACCUCUGCGGCCGAGAACCCCGGCUCCGAGGCGCCCGGCAGCCCUGGAGCGCCGGCGGGGGUCCUGCCCGCGACCCCCGCGGCGCCCCCGAGCCCCGCCGCCCCAGACCCCGAGCAACGAGGGUGACCCGAAGGCCCCGCCGCAGGCCGUGGAGGAGGACCGUGCCCCCCAGCCCCCCAGCGCGGCCCAGCCAGGCCCGCGUCCCCCGAGCAGCUGGUGCAGAAGGCGCACGAGCUCAUGUGGUACGUGCUGGUCAAGGACCAGAAGAAGAUGGUCAUCUGGUUCCCAGACAUGGUGAAGGAUGUCAUCAGCAGCUACAAGAAGUGGUCCGAGCAUCCUCCGUUGCACCAGCCUCAUCCUCGCGCGUGUGUUUGGGCUGCACCUGCGGCUGACCAGCCUCCACACCAUGGAGUUUGCGCUGGUCAAGGCGCUGGAGCCGGAGGAACUGAACAGGGUGGCGCUGAGCAACCGCAUGCCCAUGACGGGCCUCCUGCUCAUGAUCCUGAGCCUCAUCUACGUGAAGGGCCGCGGCACCCGGGAGAGCGCCGUCUGGAACGUGCUGCGCAUUCUGGGGCUGCGGCCCUGGAAGAAGCACUUUACCUUCGGGGACGUGAGGAAGCUCAUCACCGAGGAGUUUGUGCGGCAGAAUUAUCUGAAGUACCAGCGUGUACCCUCAUGGAGCCCCCGGAGUAUGAGUUCUUCUGGGGCUCCCGGGCCAGUCGUGAGAUCACCAAGAUGCAGAUCAUGGAGUUCCUGGCCAAGGUCUUCAAGAAAGAUCCCCAGGCCUGGCCUUCCCGUUACAGAGAAGCUCUGGAGGAGGCCAGAGCUCUGCGGGAGGCUAAUCCCACUGCCCACUACCCCCGCAGCAGUGUCUCCGAGGACUAGUGAGAUCUGGAGGCAGAUUAAUAGUUUCUGACCCUCGCCAGGGCUGUGGAAGGGUGGGGGUGGGCCAUUAGCGUAUGCAGGAUUUACAGUGCAGUAUUCACGUGUAACUUUUAAGUUUUCAGUACAGUGCUUUUAUAACUUUUAAUGCAAUGUUGUAUUCAUUUGGGUACUAUUAAGUAGUAUUUAGGAUUUAUGCAUGUAUGUUUAUAAGUAAGCUCAGUUGGUGCUUUCGCUUUUGUGCUACCUUGCUUGAAUUUUUGUACCGGAGUCAUGCUAAACUCAUGAAACACAUUGAAAGAGUUUCCAUUUUAUUCUUUCCUAUGCGAUGAAAGAUGUGUACUGGGAUAGACUGUUCCUGGAGAGUUUGGAAGAAUUCACUAGCAAAGCUGGCACAGGACACAUCCAUGUGGAGUGAACUGAUUUGAACUGAACUGGUCUCAAUGUGAGCAUUUGGCACACUUUACUGAAUAUGUAUUCAACCCCACCAUAAGUCAGUUUUAAAGUAAACAUUAAAGAUUCUUGUAAUACAAU
RNA transcript from Carlito syrichta (Philippine tarsier), 1449 nucleotides. It is a transcript of the gene named necdin-like, with no coding region annotated. The record is from RefSeq and is a predicted model, not a curated record. NCBI's taxonomy places the organism in Eukaryota, Metazoa, Chordata, Mammalia, Primates, Tarsiidae. The transcript has a single exon.